RNAcentral lists this ribosomal RNA (423 nucleotides) under uncultured cyanobacterium. Its description in RNAcentral is "bacterial SSU rRNA". It matches the Rfam family "Bacterial small subunit ribosomal RNA", at positions 358 to 795 of the family's 1533-position model. Lineage: Bacteria; Bacillati; Cyanobacteriota. The record is from RNAcentral.
GGAAUUUUCCGCAAUGGGCGAAAGCCUGCCGCCCGCAACGCCGCGUGAGGGAUGAAGGCCUCUGGGCUGUAAACCUCUUUUAUCAAGGAAGAAGAUCUGACGGUACUUGAUGAAUAAGCCACGGCUAAUUCCGUGCCAGCAGCCGCGGUAAUACGGGAGUGGCAAGCGUUAUCCGGAAUUAUUGGGCGUAAAGCGUCCGCAGGCGGUCUGUCAAGUCUGCUGUUAAAGCGUGGAGCUUAACUCCAUUUCGGCAGUGGAAACUGACAGACUAGAGUGUGGUAGGGGCAGAGGGAAUUCCCGGUGUAGCGGUGAAAUGCGUAGAUAUCGGGAAGAACACCAGUGGCGAAGGCGCUCUGCUGGGCCAUAACUGACGCUCAUGGACGAAAGCCAGGGGAGCGAAAGGGAUUAGAUACCCCAGUAGUC